RNAcentral lists this transfer RNA (62 nucleotides) under Platypus cylindrus. RNAcentral's name for it is "tRNA-Pro". The record is from RNAcentral. Lineage: Eukaryota; Metazoa; Arthropoda; Insecta; Coleoptera; Curculionidae.
CAGGAAAUAGUUUAAUUAAAAUAUAAAUUUUGGAGAUUUAAGAUAAAAAAUUUUUUUCCUGA